Molecule: ribosomal RNA, 486 nt
Filed under: uncultured bacterium
Lineage: Bacteria
Description: bacterial SSU rRNA
Rfam family: Bacterial small subunit ribosomal RNA
Source: RNAcentral
AUUGAACGCUGGCGGAAUGCUUUACACAUGCAAGUCGAACGGUAACAGGUCUUCGGAUGCUGACGAGUGGCGAACGGGUGAGUAAUAUAUCGGAACGUGCCCAGUCGUGGGGGAUAACGUAGCGAAAGUUACGCUAAUACCGCAUACGCCCUGAGGGGGAAAGCGGGGGACCGUAAGGCCUCGCGCGAUUAGAGCGGCCGAUAUCUGAUUAGCUUGUUGGUGGGGUAAAAGCCCACCAAGGCGACGAUCAGUAGCUGGUCUGAGAGGACGAUCAGCCACACUGGGACUGAGACACGGCCCAGACUCCUACGGGAGGCAGCAGUGGGGAAUUUUGGACAAUGGGGGGCAACCCUGAUCCAGCAAUGCCGCGUGCAGGAAGAAGGCCUCGGUUGUAAACGUGCUUUGUUACGGAACGAAAAAGGUACCGGGUUAAGUACCCUGGCGUCAUGACGGUACCGUAAGAAUAAGCACCGGCUAACUACGUAG